GGAUGGAUGUCUAAGCGGUUGAAAGAGUCGGUCUUGAAAACCGAAGUAUUGAUAGGAAUACCGGGGGUUCGAAUCCCUCUCCAUCCG
This 87-nucleotide transfer RNA is filed under the name Triticum aestivum (bread wheat). It matches the Rfam family "tRNA". Rfam says of the family: Transfer RNA (tRNA) molecules are approximately 80 nucleotides in length. Their secondary structure includes four short double-helical elements and three loops (D, anti-codon, and T loops). Lineage: Eukaryota; Viridiplantae; Streptophyta; Magnoliopsida; Poales; Poaceae. RNAcentral also lists the same sequence under 1 other name. The record is from Rfam by way of RNAcentral.